CAGUCGCCGCGGUAAUACGUAGGUGGCAAGCGUUGUCCGGAAUUAUUGGGCGUAAAGCGCGCGCAGGCGGAUAGGUCAGUCUGUCUCAAAAGUUCGGGGCUUAACCCCGUGAUGGGAUGGAAACUGCCAAUCUAGAGUAUCGGAGAGGAGAGUGGAAUUCCUAGUGUAGCGGUGAAAUGCGUAGAUAUUAGGAAGAACACCAGUGGCGAAGGCGACUUCUGGACGAAAACUGACGCUGAGGCGCGAAAGCCAGGGGAGCGAACGGGAUUAGAUACCCCCGUAGUCCCUGUCUUUAUACACU
Molecule: ribosomal RNA, 301 nt
Filed under: uncultured bacterium
Lineage: Bacteria
Description: partial 16S ribosomal RNA
Rfam family: Bacterial small subunit ribosomal RNA
Source: RNAcentral